This 95-nucleotide transfer RNA is filed under the name Bdellovibrionales bacterium. Its description in RNAcentral is "tRNA-Ser". It matches the Rfam family "tRNA". Rfam says of the family: Transfer RNA (tRNA) molecules are approximately 80 nucleotides in length. Their secondary structure includes four short double-helical elements and three loops (D, anti-codon, and T loops). Further hydrogen bonds mediate the characteristic L-shaped molecular structure. tRNAs have two regions of fundamental functional importance: the anti-codon, which is responsible for specific mRNA codon recognition, and the 3' end, to which the tRNAs corresponding amino acid is attached (by aminoacyl-tRNA synthetases). tRNAs cope with the degeneracy of the genetic code in two manners: having more than one tRNA (with a specific anti-codon) for a particular amino acid; and 'wobble' base-pairing, i.e. permitting non-standard base-pairing at the 3rd anti-codon position. The record is from RNAcentral. Lineage: Bacteria; Pseudomonadati; Bdellovibrionota; Bdellovibrionia; Bdellovibrionales.
GGAGAGGUGGCUCGAGUGGUUGAAGGCGCCUGACUCGAAAUCAGGUAUACGGUGUAACAGUCGUAUCGGGGGUUCGAAUCCCCCCCUCUCCGCCA